AUGUAAGUUUUUGCGUGAAUUUUUAUUUAUUUUAAUAAUUUAUAAAUGUAUAAAAAUAUUAUAUUCUCAGUAAUUAAUUUUAUAAAUCAAGGAAACUUGGAAUUAGUAAUUUUUAUUUAGUAUUGGCUAAAUUUGUGCCAGCAGCCGCGGUUAUACAAAUGAUGCAAAUAAAAUUAUUUUGGUAUGAGUUAAAUUUUAUUUUAUAAAAUAAAUAUAAAUUUAUUAGGUGAAAUUUUAAAUUUAUGAAAUUUUAUAUUUAUGUUGUUGAAGCUUGUAAAUUUUAUUUAAAAACUAGGAUUAGAUACCCUAUUAUUUAAAAUGUAAAUUAAUAUACUAAGGUAGAAGUAGUUAUGUUCUUGAAACUUAAAAAAUUUGGCGGUAUUUUAGUCUAUACAGAGGAACCUGUCCUGUAAUUGAUAUUCCACGAUGUACCUCACUUAAGUUUGUUUUUCAGUUUAUAUACCGUCGUUAUCAGAAUAUUUUACUAGAAUAAUAAUUUUCUGUAAUUUUUAUAAAGAUAUAAAUCAGAUCAAGGUGUAGCUUGUAUUUAAGUAGAGAUGGGUUACAAUAAAAAUAUUUAUAUGAAUUUAAAUUUGAAAUAUUUAAUGAAAGUGGAUUUGAUAGUAAAACUUUAAAGAUUAAAGGUUUGAUUUUAGCUCUAAAAUAUGCACACAUCGCCCGUCGCUCUUACUAUUAAGGUAAGAUAAGUCGUAACAUAGUAGAUGUA
RNAcentral lists this ribosomal RNA (727 nucleotides) under Euphranta canadensis. RNAcentral's name for it is "partial 12S ribosomal RNA". Lineage: Eukaryota; Metazoa; Arthropoda; Insecta; Diptera; Tephritidae. The record is from RNAcentral.